Drosophila virilis is the source of this 571-nucleotide non-coding RNA. Lineage: Eukaryota; Metazoa; Arthropoda; Insecta; Diptera; Drosophilidae. The record is from RefSeq and is a predicted model, not a curated record.
UAAUAUCGAACAACUGACGUUAACAUAUUACUCCAAAUUAUCCCAAAAAACGUAUAAUUUUCGGCCUGAACCAUCUCUUUAAGCAAAUUAUUUAUUUCUUGGGAAUCGUAGCGAUACCAAUGUAUUGCAAUUCUCCCAAUAGGAUUUAUCACUAGACUCCUAUCGCUAUGUACGAUUUAGUCCAAUUAGAAACCGUUGAUCAAGAGCAACUCUGAAUGAAAGUCGACUUUCCGCUCUUUGAAGACGCUAAUAUAUAGGGAGGGUAUUCUUCUUGGACUCUUUCCGGGUUGGUUUUAUUAUCAAAUACGCCUCAGCUGGACAAGUGCUGAAUCCGAGGUGUACUUCCGAUCAAUAAGUUUCAAGAGUAUUGACUUUGGCUGUAAACUUUUUUAAGAGCCAGCUUAUACCAAUUUAUUCAAUAAUGAAGGGGUUUGUCUACCUUUGGAAAUUCUUUUCAUUUCUCACUCUCAAUACUCGAUCUUUAUUUUGAAAAGUCCCAAAGCCUCUCAAUAAUAAUGAUUACACUGAUAGUGAUUGUAAACUAUAAUAAACUACAAUUUAAAAACUAAAA